This 409-nucleotide unclassified non-coding RNA is filed under the name plant metagenome. Its description in RNAcentral is "partial contains small subunit ribosomal RNA, internal transcribed spacer 1, and 5.8S ribosomal RNA". The stretch from base 2 to 215 matches the Rfam family "Group I catalytic intron". From Rfam's summary of the family: Group I catalytic introns are large self-splicing ribozymes. They catalyse their own excision from mRNA, tRNA and rRNA precursors in a wide range of organisms. The core secondary structure consists of 9 paired regions (P1-P9). The record is from RNAcentral.
UUUCCGUAGGUCGCUAGAGUUCAGCCUACCAAAGCAAACCUUUCAAAACUGCUAGUCUCUCCCCGAGGCGACACGCUCAAUGUUGCGGAGAGGCCCUCUUUUCAGAGGGUAAUCCGCAGCCGGCCCCCUAAAGGCUGGUUCAGAGACUCAAUGAGUGUGGGUUUGGCCUUUUGGCCAGGCUUAAGAUAGAGCCCGUCCCUGUAGGCAACUGCGGGGGAUGAACGGAACCUGCGGAAGGAUCAUUAAAGAAUCGGUGACCCUCGCGGUCCCAUUCUCACCCUUUGUAUACCAAACUUCAGUUGCUUUGGCUGGCCUUCGCGGGCCGGCCAGAGGACUCAAGCCCUUGAAUCUUUGCUGUCUGAGUACUAUAUAAUAGUUAAAACUUUCAACAACGGAUCUCUUGGUUCUG